RNAcentral lists this ribosomal RNA (2301 nucleotides) under Triticum aestivum (bread wheat). RNAcentral's name for it is "partial small subunit ribosomal RNA". Lineage: Eukaryota; Viridiplantae; Streptophyta; Magnoliopsida; Poales; Poaceae. The record is from RNAcentral.
AUGGGCGCCGGUGGCAAGGGAUAUAAGGCCCCGACCCUGCAGCUGGAGAAGCUGCUGGCGCUCGGCCUCGACCAGCGCACGGCGGAGAACGCGCUUGUCAACAGCAAGGUCACCGCCAACCUAGCCGCCAUCAUAGCCGAGGUUGGUAUCACUUGUUGUGACAAGUUAGUAGGGAAUCUCCUGUAUGCCGUUGCCACUAAAUACCCAAACAAUGCACUUGUCCAUCGUCCUGCUCUCAUCGACUAUAUUGUGUCCAUGAAGAUAAAGAACCCUGCACAGCUAGACGCUGCUCUGUCAUUUCUUACUAAUGUUGGUCCUGAUCCUUUGGAUACUGGGAAGUUUGAAGAAGCCUGUGGUGUAGGCGUGGUUGUUUCAAUUGAAGAGAUUCAUUCAACUGUCACCAAGGUUCUACAUGAAAAUAUGGAAGCUAUAUUGGAGCAGCGUUAUCAUAUAAAUGUUGGUAACCUAUGCGGACAGGUUAGGAAGAGACACCCCUGGGGUGAUGCUAAGGCGACAAAGGAGGAGAUCGAGAAAAGGCUUGCAGAGAUAUUGGGUCCAAAGACGGAAGCUGACAAUGUAAAACCAGUAAAAACAAAGAAAGGAAAACCAGCAAAACCUGAGGAGAAAAAGGUUGCAGUAGCUACUGUUGCCCCACCAUCUGAGGACCUGAAUCCAUACUCGCAUUUUCCUGAGCAGGCAGAAAACAACAAGGUUCAUACAGAAAUAUUCUUCAGCAAUGGGAACAUAUGGAGGGCACAUAACACAAAGGAGAUUUUAGAGAAACAUCUUAUGGCAACUGGUGGAAAAGUGUCGACUCGUUUCCCUCCAGAACCUAAUGGAUAUCUUCAUAUCGGUCAUGCCAAGGCUAUGUUUAUUGAUUUUGGACUGGCUGAAGAGCGGAAUGGCUAUUGUUACCUUCGGUUUGAUGACACAAACCCUGAAGCUGGAAAGAUGGAAUAUAUAGACCAUAUCCAGGAGAUAGUUCAUUGGCUGGGAUGGGAGCCCUAUAAAGUUACAUAUACAGGUGAUUAUUUUCAAGCUUUGUAUGAGCACGCAGUUGAGUUAAUACGGAAAGGGCUGGCCUAUGUAGAUCACCAGACUGCAGAACAGAUCAAGGAAGGCAGGGAAAAUAACUUGGAUAGUCCAUGGAGGGAUAGACCUAUUGAGGAGUCACUAAAGUUAUUUGAAGACAUGCGGCGUGGGUUAAUUGCUGAGGGCGCAGCAACUCUGCGAAUGAAGCAGGACAUGCAGAAUGAUACCAGAAACAUGUACGACUUGAUUGCAUACAGAAUAAAAUUCACCCCCCAUCCACAUGCUGGUGACAAAUGGUGUAUAUAUCCAAGCUACGAUUAUGCCCAUUGCAUGGUGGAUUCACUUGAAAACAUUACUCAUUCGAUCUCCGGCGGAGGUGAUGGGGUCGGCCUCGCGACUGGCGGCCAACGUGCGCCGGACGGCAGCGCGCCCGGCGGAUUCGCGUCCGGAGGCCUUGCGGCGCCGCCAUAUGUUUGGGAGUAUUCAAGGCUGAACAUAUCACAUAAUGUUAUGUCUAAAAGAGAGUUGAAUCGGCUUGUGACAGAGAAGUGGGUAGAUGGGUGGGAUGAUCCUCGUUUGUUAACACUGGCAGGACUGCGGCGACGGGGAGUGUCAGCAGCUGCAAUUAAUUCAUUUAUCCGUGGAAUGGGGAUAACAAGAAGUGACAAUAGCUUAAUUCCUUUCGAACGUCUUGAAUAUCACAUCAGAGAAGAACUUAACAAAACAGCUUCUCGAGCCAUGGUUGUUCUGCAUCCUCUAAAGGUUGUAAUAACAAACUUGGAAGAUGGAGAAGUCAUAGACCUUGAUGGAAAGAAGUGGCCUGAUGCUCCAGCUGAUGAAGCUUCGUCCUACUACAAGGUUCCGUUCUCAAGAAUUGUCUACAUUGAAAAAACUGAUUUUCGCCUCGAGGACUCGAAAGACUAUUAUGGGCUAGCUCCUGGUAAAUCCGCCCUGCUAAGGUAUGCGUUCCCGAUAAAAUGCACAGAGGUUAUUCAUGGCGAUAAUCCAGAUGAGAUUGUUGAGAUUCGAGCUGAGUAUGACCCCUCAAAGACCUCUAAACCUAAGGGUGUUGUGCACUGGGUUGCCGAGCCAUUAAAGGUGGAAAUAAGACUGUUUGAGAAGCUGUUCUUAUCAGAGAUACACAAAAUGGAAGAUUUAUUCAAUUUCCGUAGCACAUGGUUAACCACAUGCUUGGAACGUUCACCAUUUUUGCGGCAUGUUCACCUUUGUGUUCUUGUAUUUUCGAAAUUUAAAUCCCUAAGAAAAUGA